Long non-coding RNA from Quercus robur (English oak), 267 nucleotides. RefSeq lists it as uncharacterized. The record is from RefSeq and is a predicted model, not a curated record. The transcript is spliced from 2 exons. NCBI's taxonomy places the organism in Eukaryota, Viridiplantae, Streptophyta, Magnoliopsida, Fagales, Fagaceae.
CUUGAAUUGCCUCCAGCUCCAGGACUAUGUUACUUGGGGAUGGCACAUCUUCUAUGUCCGAAUGAUCAUUUUCAACAUUAAACCUUGUUGGAGAUGCAUGCGUGCUAUCAAGGCUGCUAUGGUGAUAGUUGUGCAAGAGGUGUACCGGGGACAUGCCAUGUGUUGGAGUUGCUGGCCUACUUGUAAAGGGUGUAGUACUCUCAGAAUGAUUGAUAUGCUUAGUGUUCUUUUUGGCUGUGCGGUGCCAAUUUUUCAAUGCUGUUGCCA